This 312-nucleotide non-coding RNA is filed under the name Paludibacter propionicigenes. The record is from RNAcentral. Lineage: Bacteria; Pseudomonadati; Bacteroidota; Bacteroidia; Bacteroidales; Paludibacteraceae.
AUCUUUGCACCCGUAUUUGGUUCACUUCUCUGCAUUCGCAGAAAGUGAUUAAAAGGGAAUCAGGUGAAAAUCCUGAACAGUCCCGCUGCUGUAAACUCUUUCUUUAAUUGACAAUAAACAAUUGAAGAAAACGUAUUGAACAACACUUUUGCCACUGAAGCAUCAGUUAUCAGGUAUCAGGUAUCAGUUAUCAGUUGAAGUCAAUCUGACUUUUUUACUGUUUACUGUUUACUGUUUUACUGUUCACUGACAUCGGGAAGGCGUUCAAUAACGGGAGUAAGUCAGAAGACCUGCCGAUAUAUCGAUUUGUAG